UUCAUUUUCCUAUUUGUGUGAGAUUGUUUCACCAAGUCUAUUAUAGCCUUGCAGUCACAAUGAAUAGAUAAAGCAGGCAAUGGUUUCUCCACCAGAGGCAUAUCCAUAAACUCUUAAUCCAUUUCAGCCUCAGUGCAAGUAGUAUCCAAAGCUAUGAGUUCAGACUCCAUAGUACUUCUAGAAAUAAUUGUUUGCUUCUUCG
This 202-nucleotide long non-coding RNA is filed under the name Prunus persica (peach). RNAcentral's name for it is "long non-coding RNA (PPER_LNC008019)". Lineage: Eukaryota; Viridiplantae; Streptophyta; Magnoliopsida; Rosales; Rosaceae. The record is from RNAcentral.